Molecule: transfer RNA, 72 nt
Filed under: Candidatus Omnitrophota bacterium
Lineage: Bacteria; Pseudomonadati; Candidatus Omnitrophota
Description: tRNA-Gln
Rfam family: tRNA
About the family: Transfer RNA (tRNA) molecules are approximately 80 nucleotides in length. Their secondary structure includes four short double-helical elements and three loops (D, anti-codon, and T loops).
Source: RNAcentral
UGCCCGGUGGUGUAAUUGGUAACACACCAGAAUUUGGGUCUGGGUUUUCUGGUUCGAGUCCAGACCGGGCAG